AGUCUUAUAUAUAGUAGAUGAGAUAAAUUCUACCAAACUUUUAAGAAACCAAUGUUUAUUACUGGAAUUAAAAGUAUAAAUUGGAAUAAUAUGUCUUAUUCCAGUGUUAACUUCUCCUAUCACCUGACAUAGAGAGUUUUUAAAUAACUUUUGUGCUACAAGAUGAAAUACAUGGCAUGCCACAAUUUAGACUCCUACUAAAUCUGCAAAGAUUAGUAUACUGUCUGCCUAAUUCAGCAUUUAUCCAAAAACUGACAUACCAUAAUUCCAGAAAGAUGACAAUAAUGCAAUGUUAGAGAAUCUUUCAAAGUAAUUUAUUAAGUAAACGCAUUGAAAUUUUUAAAACAUGAUUCAGUGACUGAUUUCAAUAAAAACACUAAAUGUGUAUUAAACAGAAAUCCUGGAUGUACAACACAUAGCAGGGAUCAGGAACAUUGUCUCUGCUUUAGUAACAUAUGAAGGAAAUAAAAAUAAGCACCACAAAUAUUGUAAAAGUUAAUAUUAUCAUUAUUUACAGGUGAUAUGAUCAGAGAUCUUGAAAAAAUAAUGCAUGCCACUAAAAUGAUUAAAAUUAAGUUUUGAAGGAAGCUUGAUUCAAAAUUAAUACAUAAGUUUUAACAGAUUUUAUUUGCAUAACAAACAUCUGUAUAAAAAUGUAAAUGGAAACCACCUCUUUAUAUUAGACAGAAAAGGGAAAGCAAAAGCAGACUUAGAUGUUCGAAGACACAUCUACAUGAUGACUUCUCAUAUGUUCUCUUCUGUAUCUCGUUUUAAAAUGCUGGACGUCAUCCACUUAACUGAUUCUAAAGACCCAAUGUUUCAAAAAUACUGUUGUAGACCAUCCCAUUAUGUUUUAAAAAGAUAAAGCUCCCAAAGAUUGAGUGGCUUGCUUAAUAUCUAGAAACCUGGUAAACAGGAGCUGAGGCUAAACAACCUGUAGGCUUCAAUUCAAGACCUCUUAUUUCAUUAAAAAAAAAAAACGUUGAAUGCUGGGCUGCACUGAGUUGAGAAAUCUCUGAAGAAAGUUAAAGAGUCUGGCAUAGUUUCUAAACAGUGAGCAAAGGGUUUGUGAUCCAGCAGCAGACUCCACAAUAUUCCAUAGAAGACCACAGAAUAUUCAGUAUAAUCUACAGUGCCUCUUAAUCUCUGGAAACUUCUACCCCCAACAGUGGUAAAUUUGUAACUGAUGAUUCCCUGAGUCAAUUCCAAGCCCUGGGACAUUUGUGUGACAUUUGCAUGGGGAAAAUAGCAGUGUUCAUAGCAUCAGUAAAAUCAUUAUUAUACUUGGACACAUUAACAACUACAGACAAGAAAAUGAUCCCAGUUUCCAAAGCAGAAUUUAUUUCUUAUUGCACAGAAACAAACAUAAAUUUGAAACAGCUUCGUAUUACAUCUUUUAAAUCAACAGUUGUCCUAUUUUCCUUCUAAACACUUCUCAAAGUCGGUCAAAAUGCAACAGACUGGGAAGCUACCACUUAACACUCACCAUUCAAAAAAAGUAUCACUCUUCUGUAGACAAAAGGCUGUGUACAGCGUAAUUUUACUGUGAGGCUGCUGCUCCUCUUAAACUGUUGUAUCCUAGUGGAAAGCACAGAGAGGGGAGGGAAGUGGCAGAGAGAACUGGAGGGGACCCCAAGGGUAAGCAUGGUGACAGUGUGGUGGCGGCCGUUCUCCAAGCCUCCCCACCACCCUCUUUAGCAGCCAAGGGCUGGAGACACACAGAGGGAGAGCUUUCCAGAGAGCCCAGUGAAAAGGGAGAGCUUUUUAAUAUGGUAUUUUGAGUAAGGGAUGUAAUUUUUCUAUUUUUUUUGGCAGCACAAUAGAAACUACAGUUAACAUCAACUCAGCAAUGACUGGCCUGGAACACUGCUGUGCAUUUUAUAUAGUGUCUUAGUCAUCUGGGCCUAUUGGAACAAAAACCCAAAGACCACCAACAUGCAUUUCUCACUGUUCUGGAGGCUGGGAAGUACCAGCUGGGUGUCAGCAGAUCCAGUGUCUGGUGAGGGCCUCUUCUGGCCUGCACAUGUGCACCCUGGCUGGGUCCUCACACAAAGUGAGAAACAUCAUCUUUCAUAUCUCUUGUUAUGAGGCACUAAUCCCAUCUGGAGGCCUCCACUCUCCUGACCUCAUUAACCUCCCAAAGGCCCCACCUUCAAAUACCAUCCCAUUGGGGGUUAGGACUUCAACAUAUGAAUUUAGGGGGAGACACAGACAUUCAGACAAUAACAUAUAGUUACCUGUGGAGUCCCAUCCACAUUCUCCACAGUUCACAGAUAAGGGGCCUGAGAUACGGACAGGGCUUGCAUUACUUCGUGGGAUCACAGCCUCCCAGCAUGUGAGUACAAGACAGAGCCUGAAUCCAGGGCCUAGGAUUGCAGGUACUGCUGUUUGGGGCCUUCCUGUGUUGUUCUAUUUUGAAAAACUUUUUGAGCAUCAAACCAGUUAUUUCAUUGGCUAAAGAGAGGCUGUAGUUCUAUUUUUCAUGGAUAAAAGAGUGCAAUGAAACCUCACGUGCCAGUUAUUCAGCACCAACUUUCUUCUGUUUUGGCUGCAAGUAUCUCUCCUCUCACAUUUGUUAAAGAAUACUCUAAAGUAAAUGUGUGGAUUUUCCUAUAAAUGUACUCAUCUCCCCUAAUUCAGGUUUCAAGUUCUGCAGUUUCACUUACCUUCAGUCAACCUUGGCCCAAAAAUGCUAAACAGAAAAUUCUAGAAACACACAAUUCAUAACUUUUAAAUUGGGCACCAUUCUGAGUAGUAUGAUGAAGUCUCUUACCAUCCAGCUCCGUCCCACCCAGGAUGCAAAUUGUCCCUUUCUCCAGGGUAUCCACCAUGUACAUACUGUCCACCCAUUAGUCACUUAGGUACAGUUAUCAAAUCAAUGGUCACAGUAUUGAUACCAGCGGGCCAGGAGAGGUCCCCAAAUGCCUAUGGGACCUCAUCCCCUGCCUGUGUCCAGGGUCUUGACAACAUUGUGAGAGAGAAUUCAAGAAUGAGUCAGGAUACAGUGAAAAUACAAAAGUACACACUCAAGAAAGGUGAGUGUUCAAGAGACAGUCGUGCCAUGGGGUUUGGGGCUUUAAUCUUUUAAGCCCCAAAAGAUUAAAUUAUGGGUUUCUUUAAUCGAGUGGUACAGUAUUCCUGGAAGAGAGGUAGCUGCUUCUCAGAACUCUGAAGUGGCUGUAUUGUAAUUAUAUAAUUCCUUCUGCAUUUGUUAGUGGUUAGUCUGUC
Molecule: long non-coding RNA, 3228 nt
Organism: Sapajus apella (tufted capuchin)
Lineage: Eukaryota; Metazoa; Chordata; Mammalia; Primates; Cebidae
Exons: 2
Source: RefSeq, a predicted model, not a curated record